GAGGAGAUAGAGAGGAAGUUGGAGAGAAGAAGAGGGAAAGAUUUGCUUGCUUAUAUGAUUAAGAUAAAAAUGUAGAGUAUAUAUAUGCCAAUUGCUAAGAUUUAAUUACUUUGUGCAGGAGGAGAUGGAGGAAGUUGGAAAGAAGAAGAGGGACGGAUAUGGUGAUUGUUAGAAGAAGGUGCAGAGAAGGAGAAGCAGAAGCAGAAGCUGAAUAUUCAUCAUCUUGUCCAGUUAGAAGAAGAAGUUGUAGAGAAAGAGAAGAACUGGUGGAUACCCUUCUGUGCUUAUACGAUACGUGAUAGCUUUUAGAAUUUCCAAAGAGGCAACGCAACCUCUGCUUUCUGGGAAAACGAUUUUGUGAACAUUACCUUAUUAUGUUUGCAUUGUGUUUUGAUUGACUUUUGUUUUUCACCACCCAAUUAAAUUCGACCCAACUUCUUCAAGCUAUUGCUCAAAUACAAGUAGUCAAUGUUUGAUUAAUCUUGGACACCCUGCCCUUGCUUUAGCGGAUGCAAAAGCUGCCAUUGCUUUAGCAGCUACAAAAUCAA
Salvia splendens (bonfire salvia) is the source of this 548-nucleotide long non-coding RNA. RefSeq lists it as uncharacterized. The record is from RefSeq and is a predicted model, not a curated record. NCBI's taxonomy places the organism in Eukaryota, Viridiplantae, Streptophyta, Magnoliopsida, Lamiales, Lamiaceae. The transcript has 2 exons.